This 495-nucleotide ribosomal RNA is filed under the name uncultured bacterium. Its description in RNAcentral is "partial 16S ribosomal RNA". It matches the Rfam family "Bacterial small subunit ribosomal RNA", at positions 28 to 507 of the family's 1533-position model. The record is from RNAcentral.
GACGAACGCUGGCGGCGUGCCUAAUACAUGCAAGUAGAACGCUGAAGGAGGAGCUUUCUUCUCUGGAUGAGUUGCGAACGGGUGAGUAACGCGUAGGUAACCUGCCUGGUAGCGGGGGAUAACUAUUGGAAACGAUAGCUAAUACCGCAUAAUAUUGACUAUUGCAUGAUAGUCAGUUGAAAGUUGCAACUGCACCACUACCAGAUGGACCUGCGUUGUAUUAGCUAGUUGGUGGGGUAACGGCUCACUAAGGCGACGAUACAUAGCCGAACUGAGAGGGUGAGUGGCCGCACUGAGAGGGUGACACGCCACAGACGGCUAGGGGAGGCGCCAGGAGGGAAACGUGGGGCAGGGGCGGAAGUCUGAGCGAGCAACGCGGAGUGAGGGAAGAAGGAUUUCGGAUCGUAAAGCUCGGUUGUAAGAGAAGAACGCGUGUGAGAGUGGAAAGCUCAGACUGUGACGGUAUCUUACAAGAAAGGAACGGCUAACUACGUG